UGAGGAAUAUUGGACAAUGGAUGGAAAUCUGACCCAGCCAUGCCGCGUGAAGGAAUACAGCCCUAUGGGUUUUAAACUUCUUUUAUUAUAGAGUAACCGGAGGUACGUGUACCUCCCUGCAAGUAUAUGAUGAAUAAGGAUCGGCUAACUCCGUGCCAGCAGCCGCGGUAAUACGGAGGAUCCAAGCGUUAUCCGGAUUUAUUGGGUUUAAAGGGUGCGCAGGCGGAUCAAUAAGUCAGGGGUGAAAAAUUUCAGCUUAACUGGAAUCGUGCCUUUGAUACUGUUGGACUAGAGUAUAAUUGACGUGACUGGAAUGUGAUGUGUAGCGGUGAAAUGCUUAGAUAUGUCACAGAACGCCAAUCGUGAAGACAGGUCACGAAAUUAUUACUGACGCUCAUGCACGAAAGCGUGGGGAUCAAACA
This 422-nucleotide ribosomal RNA is filed under the name uncultured prokaryote. Its description in RNAcentral is "bacterial SSU rRNA". It matches the Rfam family "Bacterial small subunit ribosomal RNA", at positions 355 to 774 of the family's 1533-position model. The record is from RNAcentral.